Molecule: ribosomal RNA, 504 nt
Filed under: uncultured bacterium
Lineage: Bacteria
Description: bacterial SSU rRNA
Rfam family: Bacterial small subunit ribosomal RNA
Source: RNAcentral
ACGGGAGGCAGCAGUGAGGAAUAUUGGUCAAUGGACGCAAGUCUGAACCAGCCAUGCCGCGUGCAGGAAGACGGCUCUAUGAGUUGUAAACUGCUUUUGUACGAGAGUAAACGCUCUUACGUGUAAGAGCCUGAAAGUAUCGUACGAAUAAGGAUCGGCUAACUCCGUGCCAGCAGCCGCGGUAAUACGGAGGAUCCAAGCGUUAUCCGGAUUUAUUGGGUUUAAAGGGUGCGUAGGCGGUUUGAUAAGUUAGAGGUGAAAUACCGGUGCUUAACACCGGAACUGCCUCUAAUACUGUUGAACUAGAGAGUAGUUGCGGUAGGCGGAAUGUAUGGUGUAGCGGUGAAAUGCUUAGAGAUCAUACAGAACACCGAUUGCGAAGGCAGCUUACCAAACUAUAUCUGACGUUGAGGCACGAAAGCGUGGGGAGCAAACAGGAUUAGAUACCCUGGUAGUCCACGCAGUAAACGAUGAUAACUCGCUGUCGGCGAUACACGGUCGGCG